This is a small nucleolar RNA of Rattus norvegicus (Norway rat), 89 nucleotides long. Ensembl annotates it as small nucleolar RNA U3. The record is from Ensembl. NCBI's taxonomy places the organism in Eukaryota, Metazoa, Chordata, Mammalia, Rodentia, Muridae.
AAGACUAUACUUUCAGGGAUCAUUUCUAUAGUUCGUUACUAGAGAAGUUUCUCUGACUGUGAAGAGUUGCAGGAGAGAAAUCAACCAGA